GCCAGACUCCUACGGGAGGCAGCAGUGAGGAAUAUUGGUCAAUGGGCUUACGCCUGAACCAGCCAAGUCGCGUGAGGGAAGACUGCCCUAUGGGUUGUAAACCUCUUUUGCCGGGGAGCAACGGGCGUCACGUGUGGCGCCACUGAGAGUACCCGGAGAAAAAGCAUCGGCUAACUCCGUGCCAGCAGCCGCGGUAAUACGGAGGAUGCGAGCGUUAUCCGGAUUUAUUGGGUUUAAAGGGUGCGUAGGCGGAAUGCCAAGUCAGCGGUAAAAUCGCGGGGCUCAACCUCGCUCCGCCGUUGAAACUGGCGUUCUUGAGUGGGCGAGAAGUAUGCGGAAUGCGUGGUGUAGCGGUGAAAUGCAUAGAUAUCACGCAGAACUCCGAUUGCGAAGGCAGCAUACCGGCGCCCAACUGACGCUGAAGCACGAAAGCGUGGGUAUCGAACAGGAUUAGAUACCCGUGUAA
This 466-nucleotide ribosomal RNA is filed under the name uncultured bacterium. RNAcentral describes it as "bacterial SSU rRNA". It matches the Rfam family "Bacterial small subunit ribosomal RNA", at positions 330 to 793 of the family's 1533-position model. The record is from RNAcentral.